Molecule: ribosomal RNA, 339 nt
Filed under: uncultured Pseudomonadota bacterium
Lineage: Bacteria; Pseudomonadati; Pseudomonadota
Description: bacterial SSU rRNA
Rfam family: Bacterial small subunit ribosomal RNA
Source: RNAcentral
AACAAACGCUGGCGGCGUGCCUAACACAUGCAAGUCGUACGAGAAAGGGUCCUUCGGGACCUGAGUAAAGUGGCGCACGGGUGAGUAACGCGUGGAUAAUCUGCCCUUCAGUUGGGAAUAACUCAUCGAAAGGUGGGCUAAUACCGAAUAACGCUGUGAGACCUUGGUUGAUCAGCCAAAGAGAGCCUCUGCUUGCAUGCCCUUGCUGAAGGAUGAGUCCGCGUACCAUUAGCUUGUUGGUAGGGUAAUGGCCUACCAAGGCUUCGAUGGUUAGCUGGUCUGAGAGGAUGAUCAGCCACACUGGAACUGACACACGGUCCAGACUCCUACGGGUGGCAG